GAUGAACGCUGGCGGCGUGCCUAAUACAUGCAAGUCGAGCGAACGGACGAGAAGCUUGCUUCUCUGAUGUUAGCGGCGGACGGGUGAGUAACACGUGGAUAACCUACCUAUAAGACUGGGAUAACUUCGGGAAACCGGAGCUAAUACCGGAUAAUAUUUUGAACCGCAUGGUUCAAAAGUGAAAGACGGUCUUGCUGUCACUUAUAGAUGGAUCCGCGCUGCAUUAGCUAGUUGGUAAGGUAACGGCUUACCAAGGCAACGAUGCAUGGCCGACCUGAGAGGGUGAUCGGCCACACUGGAACUGAGACACGGUCCAGACUCCUACGGGAGGCAGCAGUAGGGAAUCUUCCGCAAUGGGCGAAAGCCUGACGGAGCAACGCCGCGUGAGUGAUGAAGGUCUUCGGAUCGUAAAACUCUGUUAUUAGGGAAGAACAUAUGUGUAAGUAACUGUGCACAUCUUGACGGUACCUAAUCAGAAAGCAACGGCUAACUACGUG
Molecule: ribosomal RNA, 497 nt
Filed under: uncultured bacterium
Lineage: Bacteria
Description: partial 16S ribosomal RNA
Rfam family: Bacterial small subunit ribosomal RNA
Source: RNAcentral